AGUGAACGCUGGCGGCAUGCCUAACACAUGCAAGUCGAACGGCAGCACAGUAAGAGCUUGCUCUUACGGGUGGCGAGUGGCGGACGGGUGAGGAAUACAUCGGAUUCUACUCUUUCGUGGGGGAUAACGUAGGGAAACUUACGCUAAUACCGCAUACGUCCUACGGGUGAAAGCAGGGGAUCUUCGGACUUUGCGCGAUUGAAUGAGCCGAUGUCGGAUUAGCUAGUUGGCGGGGUAAAGGCCCACCAAGGCGACGAUCCGUAGCUGGUCUGAGAGGAUGAUCAGCCACACUGGAACUGAGACACGGUCCAGACUCCUACGGGAGGCAGCAGUGGGGAAUAUUGGACAAUGGGCGCAAGCCUGAUCCAGCAAUACCGCGUGAGUGAUGAAGGCCUUCGGGUUGUAAAGCCCUUUUGUUGGGAAAGAAAAGCAGCAGGUUAAUACCCGGCUGUUCUGACGGUACCGAAAGAAUAAGCACCGGCUAACUUCGUG
RNAcentral lists this ribosomal RNA (492 nucleotides) under uncultured bacterium. Its description in RNAcentral is "partial 16S ribosomal RNA". It matches the Rfam family "Bacterial small subunit ribosomal RNA", at positions 29 to 507 of the family's 1533-position model. The record is from RNAcentral.